Molecule: ribosomal RNA, 492 nt
Filed under: uncultured bacterium
Lineage: Bacteria
Description: partial 16S ribosomal RNA
Rfam family: Bacterial small subunit ribosomal RNA
Source: RNAcentral
AGUGAACGCUGGCGGUAGGCCUAACACAUGCAAGUCGAACGGCAGCACAGUAAGAGCUUGCUCUUACGGGUGGCGAGUGGCGGACGGGUGAGGAAUACAUCGGAAUCUACUUUUUCGUGGGGGAUAACGUAGGGAAACUUACGCUAAUACCGCAUACGACCUACGGGUGAAAGCAGGGGAUCUUCGGACCUUGCGCGAUUGAAUGAGCCGAUGUCGGAUUAGCUAGUUGGCGGGGUAAAGGCCCACCAAGGCGACGAUCCGUAGCUAGUCUGAGAGGAUGAUCAGCCACACUGGAACUGAGACACGGUCCAGACUCCUACGGGAGGCAGCAGUGGGGAAUAUUGGACAAUGGGCGCAAGCCUGAUCCAGCCAUGCCGCGUGGGUGAAGAAGGCCUUCGGGUUGUAAAGCCCUUUUGUUGGGAAAGAAGAGCAGCAGGUUAAUACCCCGCUGUUCUGACGGUACCCAAAGAAUAAGCACCGGCUAACUUCGUG